This is a non-coding RNA of Prunus avium (sweet cherry), 350 nucleotides long. The record is from RefSeq and is a predicted model, not a curated record. Lineage: Eukaryota; Viridiplantae; Streptophyta; Magnoliopsida; Rosales; Rosaceae.
CAUCUCAUUGGUUUUCCUCUCGGAUGUUGCGUUCGAGUGUUGCCGUUCCAGCUGCGCUUCAUCCUUCUUCUCAUCGCACGGGUUUAGCUCAAAGGGAUUUCUAGGUUUCGUUAAAAAAGGGACGAAGAUCUAAGGAAAAAGAACUGGAGUAAUCCAUAUGAGAACCCCCAGUCUGCUCAUCAAUCUGAUUAGAACUAUAAUUCUAAGAGAUGUAGCCAGAAUGAUUGGCAAGAGAUGUAGCAAGAUCAGAAGGUUGCGUGUUCAGAGAAUUGUCUGUAGAGUAAAAAUAUACUAGCUUUUGUUCAUUCUGACGUGAAAAAAUGCCAAUAUAUUUGUGUGUAGAGUAAAAA